RNAcentral lists this ribosomal RNA (47 nucleotides) under Hoplolaimus columbus. RNAcentral's name for it is "partial 28S ribosomal RNA". Lineage: Eukaryota; Metazoa; Nematoda; Chromadorea; Rhabditida; Hoplolaimidae. The record is from RNAcentral.
UUUUCGACCUGAACUCAGACGUGAGUACCCGCUGAACUUAAGCAUAU